This is a non-coding RNA of Tetranychus urticae (two-spotted spider mite), 4463 nucleotides long. Lineage: Eukaryota; Metazoa; Arthropoda; Arachnida; Trombidiformes; Tetranychidae. The record is from RefSeq and is a predicted model, not a curated record.
CAAAGUCAAAAGUUAAGUUUUUCAUUAAAAUUUUACUAAUUUUAUGUUUUUUGUUUCUAUUUACCUUUAGAUUGGACCUUAAAUUAAAUGGUGUUCGUAUGACCAGCUUGUGGAACGAUUUACUUGCCCUUUCAGCCUGACAUUAGAUUUAAAGAAUAAUUUUGAUUCAAUUGGCUGAAUGAAAACUCACUAAUAAGAAGAUCUUGGCGUAGAUUUGAGCAAAAGGAGGAAAAGAGCAAGAAUCAAGCGGAUUAUUGGAAACCUACCUUUUCAUGGAUAGAACCGAUUAAAUAGCUGACAUAUGCGAAAAUACUGAUGGCUAAAGUCGAAAAGAAGAUGCAAAUAAGGUUAAUGGGACCAUCAUCAACGUUGUAAAUGGCACCAGUGAAGAAACAAAUAUCAGCAAUGAAUGUUAUUGGUACAUAAAUUAAGAAGGUGACUAGAUAUACAACGAGAUUGCAUCGAUCGAUUAAAUUGUAUACUUCUGAAUGACAGCGAACUAACUGGUUCAACAAUUUAACUGGACAUAUUUUUGCGUUUUUCACCAAAUCCAAAUUCGCAUUGACUGUGUCUUGGCGAAAUUUGACAUAAAGACAAACAACGCAAGACAAAGCAGCGGCGAUAUAACCAGCGGCGAUGAUAAUACUGUGAACAAACAUGAAAUAGAUGGACCAGAUGAUUACAAAUAAUUUUUGUAACCAAUCUUUCAUCAAAUACCAAGAAGCUUGGAUCUGAUGUAGAUGACCGAUGAAUAAAAUCGCGAGGGUUAUAACCAUAGAAGUUUCAACAUUAGUCAGAAUAAAAAUUGUGAUUUUCCGGAAUAGCCUACAGUGAUCGAAUCGCAUUUUGAGUGCUACCCGAUCGAAUCCAUAAACUUUGAUGAUAUUCAGAUCUGCCAAAAUUUUGAUUUCAUGGAAUAAUUCAUACCAAAGACCGGCACAUUUAACUGACCAAAGGGCCAUGUGGGUGAGCAUAAGUAAAAAGUGAAUUAGUUGGUGACUUUCAUGGCUAAUGUAACCAUUACCAAGGUAUGCAGUUAUUUUUUCAUAAUAAACGGAAUCUUUGGUAAUAAGAGCCAAAGUUAACAGUCGAAUAGACCAGAUUAAAUUGAAUAUGAAUAUGCUGGAUUCAUAAGCAAUUAUGUGUUUCAUUGGGCGAAGCUUCAAAUCGAGUCCUUGGUUGAGAAAAUGAUACUUUUUCAGUUUAUCGUCCAAAUAUUCAACACACUUUUUACCACGAUCUGAACUGUCGUCAAAUUUAAUUGAUGAUGUUGCAAAAACCUUUGUCGCUAGCACAGGCAUUUUUUUAUAAUUAUGAUUCCUACAAGCUCCAGUCUCCAACAUUUCAAUGAUAAUCAGAAUGGGAUUUUUCAAACACAUUAUUCUGUCUUUUAUCUAAAGCGUAAAUAUCAUGAAUUAUAAUAUUAUAAUUUAGAUAUAAGACUAUUAUGAAACUUACACUAUUAAUAUGAAUAUUACACUAUUUUCAUGUUUUUUGUUCAAAUUAACAUAUUAAUUUCACUUUGAGUCUAUUUCACUAACUUAAAACGAGUCAUAAUUCAUCCAUCACGUGAAAAGCAAAUGAUUAUAAUUUAAUUAUAAUGAACAUUUAUUGAUUAGUAACUCCAAUAAAUUUUUAAUUUUCAAGCGAAAAUAAUCCAUUAGAAGUUAACUAUUGUAUUAAAUCUACGCAGUAUAUUGAUAAUUUAAAAGUCAAUCAAUUACACUAACUAAAUAACUAAAUAACUAUUACACAAGCAUUACAAAAGGUUGAGUUUGAUCAUUGAUUAUUUUAAGAAAUGAUACUUGAUAUUAAAUCAAGAAAUUGUUACUUUGAAGUCUUUAGUUAAAAAAGCGGUCUUUGAACUAUCACCAGUCACAAGUCGCAAAGGCGGUCAAUCUUACGACUUACUUUGAACCACCACUUGAUUCAGUCUCUCCGAAAAUUACAUAUGAAAAGCAUUAGAUUUGAUGCAGUUUCGAGUAAAUACUGUUAAAAAAGGAUUAAUUAAUUACUUCAGCAAUCAUUUAAAAAAAAUACUAACCGUAACAAAAAACUCCUUGUUAAUAACAGUUGUUGGUGUCGUCAAUCCAAUUGGAGUCUCCAAAAUCCUCUCCAAUAGGAAUAAGGUCUUUAUUGAUGUUAAUUGAGUCAAAAGUUAAUCUUUUCAUUUUAUAUUUACUAAUUUUAUAUUUUUUGUUACUAUUUACCUUUAGACUGGACCUUGCGUUGAAUGGUGUUCGUGUGAUCAGCUUGUGAAAAGAUUUACUUGCCCUUUCAGCCUGAAAUGAGAUUUCGAAUAAACAAUUCUGAUUCAAAUGACGGAAAUCUUGGAAUAGAUUUUACCAAAAAGAGUAAAACUUCGCAAGAAUUAAGCGGAUUAUUAGAGGUCUACCUUUUCAUGGACUGAACCAAUUAAAUAGCUGACAUAUGCAAAAAUACUGAUUGCUACACUCGAAAAGAAGAUACAAAUUAGAUUAAUGGGACCAUCAUCAACGUUGUAAAUGGCACCAGUGAAGAAACAAAUAUCAGCGACCAAUGUCAUCGGAACAUAAAUUAGAAAGAAGGUUAGCUUUGUAACGAGAUUGCAUCGAUCGAUUAAAUUAUAUGCUUCGGAAUGACAACGAACUAACUGGUCCAACAAUUCAAUUGGACAUAUUUUUAAGUUUUUCACCAAAUCCAAAUUAGCAUUGACUGUGUCUUGGCGGAAUUUAAUAUAAAGAAAAAUAACUAGCAAUAAAGCAGCGGCGAUAGCACCAGCGGCGAUGAUAAAACAAAGGACAAAGAUGAAAUAGAUGGACCAGAUGAUUACAAAUAAUUUUUGUAACCAAUUCUUCAUCAAAUACCAAGAAGCUUGGAUCUGAUAAAAAUGACCGAUAAAUAAAAUUGAGAGGGUUAUAAUCAUGGAAGUUUCAACAUUAGUCAGAAUAAAAGUCGUGAUUUUCUGGAAUAGCCUACAGUGAUCGAACCGCAAUUUGAGUGCUAACCGAUCGAAUCCAUAAAUUUUGAUGACAUUCAGAUCUUUCAUAAUUAUGAUUCCUUUGGUUAAUUCAUACCAAAGACCGGCGAAUUUAAUUGACCAAACUGCCAUGUGGACUGGACCGCCUUCUGAAUCGUGUUCGUAUGAUCAGCUUGUGGAAAGAUUUACUUGCCCUUUGCGCCUGAAAUUAGAUUUUGAUUGAAUUGGUUUUAAAAAAUUGCUUAGCAAGGAAUUAUAUUGAAAUGAAUUGAAUCAGUUUGGAUCAUAUUGGCCGACUACCUUUUCAUGGAUAGAACCAACUAAAUAGCUGACAUAUGCAAAAACGACGAUUGCUAAACUCGAAAAUGCCAUGCAAAUAAAGUUGAGUUGGCCAUCAUCAACUUUGUAAAUAGCUCCGAGGAAGAAACAAAUAUCAGCAAUAAAUGUCAUCGGUACAUAAAUUAGAAAGGUGACUGGAAAUGAAACGAGAUUACCUCGAUCGAUUAAAUUAUAUACUUCUGAAUGACAACGAACUAACUGUUCCAACAAUUCGACUGGACAUAUUUUCAAGUUUUUCACCAAAUCCAAAUUAGCAUUGACUGUGUCUUGGCGAAAUUUAACAUAAAGACAGCCAAAUAGCAUCAAAGCUGCAGCGAUAUAGCCAAUGGAGAUGCAUAGAUAAAUAAUAAUAAUGAAGUGUAUGGACCAGGUGAUUACAAAUAAUUUUUGUAACCAAUCCUUCAUCAAAUACCAAGAAGCUUGGAUCUGAUAAAGAUGAGCGAGAAAUAAAAUCAAGCUGGUUAUAAUCAUUGCAGUUUCAACUUUAGUCAGAAUAAAAAUUGUGAUUUUCUGGAAUAGCCUACAGUAAUCAAAUCGCAUUUUAAGUGCUACCCGAUCGAAUCCAUAAAUUUUGAUGAUAUUCAGAUCUUUUAAAACUUUGAUUUCAUGGCCUAAUUCAUACCAGAAACUAGCACACUUAAUUGACCAAAAGGCAAUGUGGGUGAGGACAAGUAGAAAGUGAAUUAGGUUAUGACUCUCAUGGCUAAUGUAACCAUCACCUAGGUAUGCUGUCCAUUUUUCAUAGUAAACGGAAUCUUUGGUAAUAAGAGUCAGAGUUAACAGUCGAAUAAACCAGAUUAAAUUGAAUAGGAAUAUGCUGAAUUCAUAAGCAAUUAAGCGUUUAAUUGGACGAAGCUUCAAAUCAAAUCCUUGGUUAAGAAAAUGAAAGCUUUUCACUUUAUCGUCCAAAUAUUCAACACACUUUUUACCUCGAUCUAAACUGUCGUCACGUCGUCGUUUCUUGAUUAGAGGCAUUUUUUCGUAAUUAUCGUUCCUACUAUGACAAUCAGAAUGUGAAUUUAUGAACACUCUUCAUUGUCUUUUAUACAUGUUCAACACAGAUUUGUGUUAACUCUAUCCUAGAGCAUAAAGAUCAUGAAAUCUGACAAUUUAGAUGUAAGAUUAAUAUGAAACUUUGAAUAUUUUAUUAUGUUAAAAAUUUUUA